UUAGUCGGAAACGAUACAUCGUAGAAGGUUUCGGCCCUUCCUUAGGUGAUUAAACCCACCCCGGCUAU
RNAcentral lists this transfer RNA (68 nucleotides) under Lottia digitalis (California fingered limpet). RNAcentral describes it as "tRNA-Arg". Lineage: Eukaryota; Metazoa; Mollusca; Gastropoda; Lottiidae. The record is from RNAcentral.